Molecule: ribosomal RNA, 446 nt
Filed under: uncultured bacterium
Lineage: Bacteria
Description: bacterial SSU rRNA
Rfam family: Bacterial small subunit ribosomal RNA
Source: RNAcentral
GGCCAGACUCCUACGGGAGGCAGCAGUGGGGAAUAUUGCACAAUGGGGGGAACCCUGAUGCAGCGACGCCGCGUGAGUGAAGAAGUAUUUCGGUAUGUAAAGCUCUAUCAGCAGGGAAGAAGAUGACGGUACCUGACUAAGAAGCCCCGGCUAACUACGUGCCAGCAGCCGCGGUAAUACGUAGGGGGCAAGCGUUAUCCGGAUUUACUGGGUGUAAAGGGAGCGUAGACGGCAUGGCAAGCCAGAUGUGAAAUACCGGGGCUCAACCCCGGGACUGCAUUUGGAACUGUUAAGCUGGAGUGUCGGAGAGGCAGGCGGAAUUCCUAGUGUAGCGGUGAAAUGCGUAGAUAUUAGGAGGAACACCAGUGGCGAAGGCGGCCUGCUGGGCUUUUACUGACGCUGAGGCUCGAAAGUGUGGGGAGCAAACAGGAUUAGAUACCCGAGUA